This 2101-nucleotide ribosomal RNA is filed under the name fermentation metagenome. RNAcentral describes it as "bacterial LSU rRNA". It matches the Rfam family "Bacterial large subunit ribosomal RNA", at positions 833 to 2925 of the family's 2925-position model. The record is from RNAcentral.
UCGAACUCGGAGAUAGCUGGUUCUCCUCGAAAUAGCUUUAGGGCUAGCCUCAGAAAGAAGUAUCGUGGGGGUAGAGCACUGAAUGGUCAAGGGGCGUUAUACGUUACCGAAACCUAUCAAACUCCGAAUACCAUAGAUACGUACCUGGGAGUCAGACUGCGUGAGAUAAGUUUCGUAGUCAAAAGGGAAACAGCCCAGAUCACCAACUAAGGUCCCAAAAUAUAGAUUAAGUGGAAAAGGAUGUAAAACUACACAGACAACCAGGAUGUUGGCUUAGAAGCAGCCACACAUUAAAAGAGUGCGUAAUAGCUCACUGGUCGAGUGGUUUUGCGCCGAAGAUGUCCGGGGCUAAAAUCUAUUACCGAAGUUGUGGGAUGUACAAAGUACAUCGGUAGAGGAGCAUUGUAUACGGGAAGAAGCACUACCGAAAGGAGUUGUGGACUGUAUAGAAGAGAGAAUGUUGGCAUGAGUAGCGAAAGGGGAGUGAGAAUCUCCCCCAUCGAAAGCCUAAGGAUUCCUGAGGAAGGCUCGUCCACUCAGGGUAAGUCGGGACCUAAGCCGAGGCCAAAAGGCGUAGGCGAUGGACAACUGGUUGAAAUUCCAGUACCACCUUUAAGCGUUAGAGAGAAGGGGUGACACAGAAGGGUAAGCUUGCGCACUGAUGGAAUAGUGCGUCUAAGUAAGUAGGGAGAUAACCGAGGCAAACCCCGGAUAUCAAUCCUGAGAUACGAAUGGGAGCGAAAACAAGUAGUGAAGUAGCUGAGCCCACGCUGUCAAGAAAAGCCUCUAUCGAGCAAGAAGGUGCCCGUACCGCAAACCGACACAGGUAGGCAAGGAGAGAAUCCAAAGAUGAGCGGAAGAACUAUUGUUAAGGAACUAGGCAAAAUGACCCCGUAACUUCGGGAGAAGGGGUGCCGGGAGGUGUGAAGAUUGAACAAUUGGAGCACAACCCGGCCACAGAAAACAGGCCCAAGCGACUGUUUAGCAAAAACACAGGUCUCUGCUAAAUCGAAAGAUGAAGUAUAGGGGCUGACACCUGCCCGGUGCUGGAAGGUUAAGGGGAGAAGUCAUCGAAAGAGAAGCUUUGAACUUAAGCCCCAGUAAACGGCGGCCGUAACUAUAACGGUCCUAAGGUAGCGAAAUUCCUUGUCGGGUAAGUUCCGACCCGCACGAAAGGUGUAACGAUUUGGGCACUGUCUCAACAAUAGAUCCGGUGAAAUUGUAGUACUCGUGAAGAUGCGAGUUACCCGCGGCAGGACGGAAAGACCCCAUGGAGCUUUACUGCAGGCUGACAUUGGAAUUCGGUAGCAAUUGUACAGAAUAGGUGGGAGACAAAGAAGCCAGUACGCCAGUAUUGGUGGAGUCAACGUUGGGAUACCACUCUAUUGUUACUGAAUUUCUAACAUGGUACCGUGAACCGGUACAUGGACACUGUCAGUUGGGCAGUUUGACUGGGGCGGUCGCCUCCGAAAGAGUAACGGAGGCGCUCAAAGGUUCCCUCAGCACGGUCGGAAAUCGUGCGAAGAGUGUAAAGGCAGAAGGGAGCUUGACUGCGAGAGAGACAUCUCGAGCAGGAACGAAAGUUGGACUUAGUGAUCCGGUGGCACCGAGUGGAAAGGCCAUCGCUUAACGGAUAAAAGCUACCCUGGGGAUAACAGGCUUAUCUCCCCCAAGAGUCCACAUCGACGGGGAGGUUUGGCACCUCGAUGUCGGCUCGUCUCAUCCUGGGGCUGAAGCAGGUCCCAAGGGUUGGGCUGUUCGCCCAUUAAAGAGGCACGCGAGCUGGGUUCAGAACGUCGUGAGACAGUUCGGUCCCUAUCCGCCGUGGGCGCAGGAAAUUUGAAGGGAGCUGUUCCUAGUACGAGAGGACCGGAAUGGACAGACCGCCGGUGAAUCAGUUGUCACGCCAGUGGCAUGGCUGAGUAGCUGAGUCUGGAAAAGAUAAGCGCUGAAAGCAUCUAAGCGCGAAACGUACCCUAAGAUAAGAUUUCCCAUCACAUAAGUGAGUAAGACCCCUGAUAUGUUAACAGGUUGAUAGGUCGCAUGUGUAAGUGCAGCAAUGCAUUCAGCUGAGCGAUACUAAUAGGUCGAGGUCUUGACC